Long non-coding RNA from Gasterosteus aculeatus aculeatus (three-spined stickleback), 252 nucleotides. The record is from Ensembl. Lineage: Eukaryota; Metazoa; Chordata; Actinopteri; Perciformes; Gasterosteidae.
GGUUAAGGCAGCAGGGUGAGAAUCGGUCUGUGUCACAGGUGCAUUUCCCUCAAGUGUCUGUGGUUUCACACACGAGUCACACAGCUGUGCGUGUUUGCAUUCGCUCUGUAACGAAGGCACGACAGCUGCCGGAGUUUCAGCAGGAAGAGCGCGACAACGGUGACCAAAGGGUUUCUGGAGAUGGUUGGGGGGGAUAUUGGAAAAAUCUGAUUCUCAAAGAGGAAGACGCAUCCAAAUCCAACGUCGGAAAAC